CCUGAUUUUCUUGUGCUCUCUAGGCCUCUUCUGUAUCAAUCUCUUUUUAGGGUUUUUCCCUCUCUAUAUCUCUUUCUCUAUCUCUUCCUCUCUCAUCUAUGGCUGCGGAGGUAGAGUACAGAUGUUUCGUCGGAGGUCUCGCCUGGGCCACCGACGGCCAGUCCCUAGAAAGGGCAUUCUCUCAGUUUGGUGAAGUCGUCGACUCGAAGAUCAUCAACGAUCGCGAGACUGGCAGAUCGAGGGGUUUUGGAUUCGUGACAUUCAAGGAUGAGCAAUCGAUGAAGGACGCCAUCGAGGGGAUGAACGGCCAGGAUCUUGACGGGCGUAACAUAACCGUCAACGAGGCUCAGUCUCGCGGAAGCGGCGGCGGCGGCGGCGGCGGAGGGUUCCGCAGUGGUGGUGGAGGUGGCCGACGUGAAGGUGGUGGCCGUCGUGAAGGCGGUGGGUACGGUGGUGGCGGUGGGUACGGCGGUGGUGGUGGCCGGUGGACGUGACCGUGGUGACGGUGGUGGGUCCCGCUACUCGAGGGGGGGCGGUGAUUCCGAUGGAAGCUGGAGGUAUUAGGUUUUAGAGGGUUAUAUGGAUUUCGAGUGUGUACUCUAAUAUUUGCUGAUCGUUGGCUUAGAUCUGUAAUGGGUUAGGGUUUUAAUGUUUUCGUUUUGUUACUUUUGGUACUGUCUUGUUUUGAUCGCCUGCUAGCUAUUUAUCCUUGCUGUUUAGAUUUCCCGAAUAUGAAAAAGAAGUUACAAUGAAUGAAAAAUGAAUUUAAACUUCAAUUU
Non-coding RNA from Camellia sinensis, 779 nucleotides. The record is from RefSeq and is a predicted model, not a curated record. Lineage: Eukaryota; Viridiplantae; Streptophyta; Magnoliopsida; Ericales; Theaceae.